RNAcentral lists this ribosomal RNA (460 nucleotides) under uncultured bacterium. RNAcentral's name for it is "partial 16S ribosomal RNA". It matches the Rfam family "Bacterial small subunit ribosomal RNA", at positions 338 to 795 of the family's 1533-position model. The record is from RNAcentral.
CCUACGGGGCGCAGCAGUGAGGAAUAUUGGUCAAUGGACGAGAGUCUGAACCAGCCAAGUAGCGUGAAGGAUGACUGCCCUAUGGGUUGUAAACUUCUUUUAUAAAGGAAUAAAACGAGGCACGUGUGCCUUUUUGCAUGUACUUUAUGAAUAAGGAUCGGCUAACUCCGUGCCAGCAGCCGCGGUAAUACGGAGGAUCCGAGCGUUAUCCGGAUUUAUUGGGUUUAAAGGGAGCGUAGAUGGGUUGUUAAGUCAGUUGUGAAAGGUUGCGGCUCAACCGUAAAAUUGCAAUUGAUACUGGCAGUCUUGAGUACAGUUGAGGUAGGCGGAAUUCGUGGUGUAGCGGUGAAAUGCUUAGAUAUCACGAAGAACCCCGAUUGCGAAGGCAGCUUACUAAACUGUGACUGACAUUGAUGCUCGAAAGUGUGGGUAUCAAACAGGAUUAGAUACCCCUGUAGUC